UUGAGAGUUUGAUCCUGGCUCAGAACGAACGCUGGCGGCAGGCCUAACACAUGCAAGUCGGACGAGAAGGUACCUUCGGGUACUGGAGAGUGGCGCACGGGUGAGUAACGCGUGGGGACCUACCUCUUAGUGGGGGAUAACGGUUGGAAACGACCGCUAAUACCGCAUACGCCCUUCGGGGGAAAGAUUUAUCGCUAAGAGAUGGACCCGCGUUGGAUUAGAUAGUUGGUGAGGUAACGGCUCACCAAGUCAGCGAUCCAUAGCUGGUUUGAGAGGAUGAUCAGCCACACUGGGACUGAGACACGGCCCAGACUCCUACGGGAGGCAGCAGUGGGGAAUAUUGGACAAUGGGCGAAAGCCUGAUCCAGCAAUGCCGCGUGAGUGAUGAAGGCCUUAGGGUUGUAAAGCUCUUUUACCCGGGAUGAUAAUGACAGUACCGGGAGAAUAAGCCCCGGCUAACUCCGUGCCAGCAGCCGCGGUAAUACGGAGGGGGUUAGCGUUGUUCGGAAUUACUGGGCGUAAAGCGCGCGUAGGCGGACUGGAAAGUUGGGGGUGAAAUCCCAGGGCUCAACCCUGGAACUGCCUCCAAAACUAUCAGUCUAGAGUUCGAGAGAGGUGAGUGGAAUUCCGAGUGUAGAGGUGAAAUUCGUAGAUAUUCGGAGGAACACCAGUGGCGAAGGCGGCUCACUGGCUCGAUACUGACGCUGAGGUGCGAAAGUGUGGGGAGCAAACAGGAUUAGAUACCCUGGUAGUCCACGCCGUAAACGAUGAUAACUAGCUGUUCGAGCUCAUAGAGCUUGAGUGGCGCAGCUAACGCAUUAAGUUAUCCGCCUGGGGAGUACGGUCGCAAGAUUAAAACUCAAAGGAAUUGACGGGGGCCUGCACAAGCGGUGGAGCAUGUGG
This 903-nucleotide ribosomal RNA is filed under the name Paramoeba aestuarina. RNAcentral describes it as "partial Bacterial small subunit ribosomal RNA". It matches the Rfam family "Bacterial small subunit ribosomal RNA", at positions 1 to 944 of the family's 1533-position model. The record is from RNAcentral. Lineage: Eukaryota; Discosea; Flabellinia; Dactylopodida; Paramoebidae.